Molecule: transfer RNA, 87 nt
Filed under: Trametes coccinea BRFM310
Lineage: Eukaryota; Fungi; Basidiomycota; Agaricomycetes; Polyporales; Polyporaceae
Description: Trametes coccinea (strain BRFM310) tRNA
Rfam family: tRNA
About the family: Transfer RNA (tRNA) molecules are approximately 80 nucleotides in length. Their secondary structure includes four short double-helical elements and three loops (D, anti-codon, and T loops).
Source: Rfam by way of RNAcentral
CCUUCGAUAGCUCAGUUGGAAGAGCGUGAGACUGUAAUGGGUUACCUGCUCAUCUCAAGGUCACUGGUUCGAUCCCGGUUCGAAGGA